RNAcentral lists this ribosomal RNA (494 nucleotides) under soil fungal sp. DM2-209. Its description in RNAcentral is "eukaryotic LSU rRNA". It matches the Rfam family "Eukaryotic large subunit ribosomal RNA", at positions 143 to 658 of the family's 3401-position model. The record is from RNAcentral. Lineage: Eukaryota; Fungi.
UUGUAAUUUGUAGAGGAUGCUUUUGGUGAGGUGCCGCCCGAGUUCCCUGGAACGGGACGCCACAGAGGGUGAGAGCCCCGUCUGGCUGGCCGCCGAGCCUCUGUAAAGCUCCUUCGACGAGUCGAGUAGUUUGGGAAUGCUGCUCAAAAUGGGAGGUAUAUGUCUUCUAAAGCUAAAUAUUGGCCAGAGACCGAUAGCGCACAAGUAGAGUGAUCGAAAGAUGAAAAGCACCUUGAAAAGAGGGUUAAAUAGUACGUGAAAUUGUUGAAAGGGAAGCGCUUGUGACCAGACUUGGGCGCGGCGGAUCAUCCGGGGUUCUCUCCGGUGCACUUCGCCGCGUCUAGGCCAGCAUCAGUUCGUCGCGGGGGAAAAAGGCUUCGGGAACGUGGCUCCUCCGGGAGUGUUAUAGCCCGUUGCAUAAUACCCUGCGGUGGACUGAGGACCGCGCAUCUGCAAGGAUGCUGGCGUAAUGGUCACCAGCGACCCGUCUUGAA